RNAcentral lists this ribosomal RNA (324 nucleotides) under uncultured bacterium. RNAcentral describes it as "bacterial SSU rRNA". It matches the Rfam family "Bacterial small subunit ribosomal RNA", at positions 28 to 334 of the family's 1533-position model. The record is from RNAcentral.
GAUGAACGCUGGCGGCGUGCUUAACACAUGCAAGUCGAACGAAGCGCUUAAACGGAUUUCUUCGGAAUGAAGUUUUUGCGACUGAGUGGCGGACGGGUGAGUAACGCGUGGGUAACCUGCCUCAUACAGGGGGAUAACAGUUAGAAAUGACUGCUAAUACCGCAUAAGCGCACAGUGCUGCAUGGCACAGUGUGAAAAACUCCGGUGGUAUGAGAUGGACCCGCGUCUGAUUAGCUAGUUGGUGAGGUAACGGCUCACCAAGGCGACGAUCAGUAGCCGACCUGAGAGGGUGAUCGGCCACAUUGGGACUGAGACACGGCCCAA